CAAACACUUUGCACCACAGGUUGUGAAUGCAAAACACACUGAAGAGACUGCAGCCGGCGCGCACCUCCUUGUACAGCUUACGGUGACAUCAUCACAAGCAUGUGUGACAUCACAAGGUUCUAAACCAUCUUCAGUGCAGACCUGCGUCCUCAGAAGACAGAACUUCCUGGCCCACAAACAGUGACAUCACAGGAGCCUUUGAAUCAAACGGUUACCUUCCAGCGGGAAACAGAACGGUAGAAAUGCUGCCGGCCGGAGCUGUCUCCCGUUCUAUUCCCAAACACAUCACUUCCACUUGUCAGGAUAAUCUAUAGGAGAAGAUCCUGAAAACCAACAUCCUCAUCAUUGCUACUGCUACCAGCAUCCUUCUCCAUAUUUGAAGAUACCACCCACCACUACUACUACUUAGCAAGUGACAACAUAGUAUCACAUCCUGGAAGUGUAAGUGCCUUUAUGCAUGCAUGUUUUUUCAUCAUCAACACAUACAUAGUCUCCAAUAUAUACUUCAAUAGCUCAG
Hyla sarda is the source of this 517-nucleotide long non-coding RNA. RefSeq lists it as uncharacterized. The transcript has 3 exons. The record is from RefSeq and is a predicted model, not a curated record. Lineage: Eukaryota; Metazoa; Chordata; Amphibia; Anura; Hylidae.